AGUAACACGUGAGUAACCUGCCCUCAACAUUUGAAUAACUCCAUGAAAGUGGGGCUAAUGCAAUAUAUUCUGCAGUCAUCGCAUGGUGGUUGUGGGAAACGGUUUUUUCUGGUUGGGGAUGGGCUCGCGGCCUAUCAGCUUGUUGGUGGGGUGAUGGCCUACCAAGGCGGUGACGGGUAGCCGGCCUGAGAGGGUGGACGGCCACACUGGGACUGAGAUACGGCCCAGACUCCUACGGGAGGCAGCAGUGGGGGAUUUUGCACAAUGGGCGCAAGCCUGAUGCAGCGACGCCGCGUGAGGGAUGACGGCCUUCGGGUUGUAAACCUCUUUCGCUAGGUUGGAAGACGCUUUUUGGAGUUGUUGACUUUAACUGGUAAAGAAGUACCGGCUAACUACGUGCCAGCAGCCGCGGUAAUACGUAGGGUACUAGCGUUGUCCGGAAUUAUUGGGCGUAAAGGGCUUGUAGGUGGUUUGUCGCGUCUGUCGUGAAAACCCGGGGCUUAACUCCGGGCUUGCGGUGGGUACGGGCAGGCUUGAGUGCGGUAGGGGAGACUGGAAUUCCUGGUGUAGCGGUGGAAUG
RNAcentral lists this ribosomal RNA (580 nucleotides) under Actinomyces sp. RNAcentral's name for it is "bacterial SSU rRNA". It matches the Rfam family "Bacterial small subunit ribosomal RNA", at positions 109 to 688 of the family's 1533-position model. The record is from RNAcentral. Lineage: Bacteria; Bacillati; Actinomycetota; Actinomycetes; Actinomycetales; Actinomycetaceae.